Molecule: microRNA precursor, 67 nt
Filed under: Bombyx mori (domestic silkworm)
Lineage: Eukaryota; Metazoa; Arthropoda; Insecta; Lepidoptera; Bombycidae
Description: mir-2774 microRNA precursor family
Rfam family: mir-2774 microRNA precursor family
Source: Rfam by way of RNAcentral
ACAACAUUCGGACCCUCGGUCUACCGAAUAAUACCACUCGCUCGGAGGAAGAUCUUGCCUUUGUCGU